GACGAACGCUGGCGGCGUGCCUAAUACAUGCAAGUCGAGCGGACUGAUUAAGAGCUUGCUCUUAUGACGUUAGCGGCGGACGGGUGAGUAACACGUGGGCAACCUGCCCUGUAGAUCGGGAUAACACCGAGAAAUCGGUGCUAAUACCGGGUAAUAUCUGAGAUCACAUGAUCUUAGGUUAAAAGAUGGCUCCGGCUAUCACUACAGGAUGGGCCCGCGGCGCAUUAGCGAGUUGGUAAGGUAAUGGCUUACCAAGGCGACGAUGCGUAGCCGACCUGAGAGGGUGAGCGGCCACACUGGGACUGAGACACGGCCCAGACUCCGACGGGAGGCAGCAGUAGGGAAUCUUCCGCAAUGGACGAAAGUCUGACGGAGCAACGCCGCGUGAGUGAUGAAGGGGUUCGGCUCGUAAAGCUCUGUUGUUGGGGAAGAAACAGUACCGAACGAACUAGGUCGGUACCUUGACGGUACCUAACCAGAAAGCCACGGCUAACUACGUG
RNAcentral lists this ribosomal RNA (500 nucleotides) under uncultured bacterium. RNAcentral describes it as "partial 16S ribosomal RNA". It matches the Rfam family "Bacterial small subunit ribosomal RNA", at positions 28 to 507 of the family's 1533-position model. The record is from RNAcentral.